Long non-coding RNA from Gasterosteus aculeatus aculeatus (three-spined stickleback), 11350 nucleotides. NCBI's taxonomy places the organism in Eukaryota, Metazoa, Chordata, Actinopteri, Perciformes, Gasterosteidae. The record is from Ensembl.
UUGGUCGAUUUAAUUGAUAAUGUAUUGGUGCAACUAGACAAGCACAUUGGCUUUUCAUUUGGGGAUUGAAUAAUUAUGUUUAUUACUGGUUGUACACGUUCAACAUAUUGGUAAAGGCAAAGAUUAAAAAAAUUAUUAUACCAACACUAUUGUUAUUUUUUAUAACUGGGAAAUCCUUGCUUCACUUCUCAUAAUCCAGGAUUGCUACCAAUUUGAAAUAAGAGUAACAGACCACGUAGCACUAAACAUAAUCGUAUGUAAUUCAAUGAAGCUGUUUGUUUUGUUCAUUUUUAAUAACAUUCUGUGCCGUAUGUGGCAUUAAAGUGGAGUCUUAGAUCCUCAGCAGCCGAGGAGCUUCGUCUGUUGUUACACAUACGUUCCAUUCAUGUGAGAAUAUAGAUAAUAAGUCUGCCUGUGUUGAGAGGCUGGAUUCUGCUGAGAUGGAAGUGGAGAGUGAGUUUGGAACAUACGAUGAUUUGUUGGACGGCGACUUGCUCCCUUGUCCAAGUGUCUAUUUUAGGUCCAUGGCUGUGAUGUGUUGAGGCGAUAUUUAACAGCUCUCUGUUUCCUGAAUCUCUCAGCCAAGAAUUUUACACAGGGAGGAACUUGACUUCCCAAGCUUAUUUGGACAGGAUGACGGAGGUUACAAAAGGGACAAGUGGACGGGUCCCGACAGUUGUAAUAUCGUGAUUAAAGCUCUAUUGAUUCAUUGAUUCCAGAGAUUGUGUAAUAAAGAAGGCUCGUACUGCAUUAGGUGUGUUUCAUUAAGCAGACGUUUGCUAUCGCCCAACUCUGCUCUUCUCAGAGCUUUCUGUGUCUUCUGUCUUGUGGUUCAUUGUUUUCUUUUUAUAUUCAGCAAAUAUAUAUGUCACGCUUUAGUCCUCCUGGAAACCACCGGGUGAGCAAAGAGGGAUACUGAUAAAAUAUCAAAGAGGGGGAAGAGACUUUCAAGGUCAGGGAAAAAGGGCCCACUGCGCCACUCUGCUAAAUCUCCCAUCUGCUACACUGAGCCACGUUGGUCGGGUUUACUGAACUAAUGUGUGAAGCUACAGUUUAUGUUGAUAUGGAACGGUGAACCAGAAGAUGCCCGUUUUUUAUCAUUCAAACCUUUUUUACAGACUUGAAGGGCUUGAAGUGCUUUAUCAGAAAAGCGUUUCAAAUCCCAGGAAAGGAUGAAUGUCAAUGUUUUAGUGUUUGGUGACAAUGACCGUCGGAGUAGUACUCCCAAGAAAUCGGCUGAGAAAAAGGCUAAAGUUUGACUUUACAUGGGUUUUAUUUAUUUUAUUUUAUUCAUUGAUUGAAUGAUAUUUUAUAUCUAUACGGUGUUAUUUAACCUCAAACCAUGGCCACGAUGAUGAGGUGGCAUCGGCAAGCGUUAUCGGUAGCAACUGGUAGAAUAGCAGCGCUUUUAUGGAUCAAUGAUCAGCAUAGUUUGAAGGCAUAGAAGAGCUUCAACGGGUCAAAGCUUCUGUCAAAAUGAAACCUAGAACAAACAGAAGUGAAUUCUUUGGCCGUUAUCGUUUAAAAGAAACAGUAAUAAUACAAUUCUAAGAUGCCUUAGUUUCUCGGAGGAGAAAUUAUAUCUGCUAGUCAUUGAGUUUUGGCGGUUUAGCAAAUGUUUAGUGUUUGAUGUAACAUAGAGAACUUCUGUGGCUUCUUGGUCUUAUUCUCUGAGAAAGACACGUUGGUGAAGUCAGUGAUAGUAUAAAUUCUGUGUUUAUGGGAAAUGCUCUGCUCUGAGGAAACCAAGGACAAAAUUUGCGAUGGCCAAAAAAAAAAACCGUAUAGUAACUAUAGGUGGUCUUUAAUGUGAAAGCUAUGGUGGCGUCAUGUGAUCAGAAUGUGUCCCAGGCUACAUUGACUUGGGAACUUCCACCAAGGAAAUAGAAGAAGCAUAUUCUGCCUGGUGCUUAGCAACAUCUGCUCGGCGCCGGUCACGCUGGGAAAUCUAAACAGCCCCUUUUUAUUUAUAAAAGCUCAACUUUUAUAAAAAUGUCUUCAGGACAUCUUGCAGGAGGUUCGGACAGGGUAUGCUGUCGCAGCCAUCUCAGUGGACGCAUAAACAUUUCAGUGCGGAUUUGGGGAAAUUGAACCGACUUCAGGGUGCUUGGUGGAUGGUGGUUCAACGCUUUGACCACGGUAGAUGUACUGACUGGCUUCAGUUGUCAUUAUUAUUUAUCAAUGUGCCUACGGUGAAUGAAUUUACCGUAUGCAUGGUUAGUUUGUCCAUCAGUGUACAAAUGGGUGUGAUACCUGAAUCUGAUCUGCAGAUUGCAUUGAAAUCUAAUGAUGAGGCUCUACAGAAUAUUUAUAAUUCUUGUUAUUACAAUAACCCUUCUUAAAAUGUCAUAUCAUAUUGCGACAAUUGUCCUUUUAGGUUAAUCAAUAUUGGAUCUCAAUGAUACCAAUGUAGCCUUUGUUUUUGUUUUAUCUACGCUUUAUUAUAUUUUAUUUAUUAUUUUAAAAUACUUCCUCAUCCUCUGACUUUUCAUUGUGUGUGUUCAAAAUCCCUUUUGUGGAUUUGAUGAAUGUAAAAAAAGGAUUUUGCUGUAAAGUCAAAAACAGAAAUGCCCUCAGAUUUUUGCAUGAAGGUUACAGGUUGAAGGUUCUUCUGGAUGACAGUUGUGGGGUUCGGUUCAUGGUUCCUCAUCAGAGUGUAGCAACAGGACUAGUAUUGCCUCGAGCAUUGAACUCCAGAAGCUGAAUGCUUCGCAUUGUCUUGCUCACUGAGAUGUAUAUAGUGGACAUAUUUGUAGGGCAAAAAUGAAGUGUUAGUAAUUGAUGAGGUCUGGCGGGCCUUCUUUAUUCAUUUGUUUUAACUCACAGACAUUUAAAAAGUUCCAGAGUUGACGGUUGGUUUGUGUGUGUCUGUGUGUGCGUGUGUGUGGUUGCUGCUGUCAGUGUGCUGUUACUAAGAGAUGUAAUCAUGUACCAACAUUCCUGUGUGAAAGCAGGAGGGUUUAACGUUUCUGAUGACAUGUUCUGUAAAAAAGUUUAAUCCUAGAUCUAGGUUAUGUUUUUAAUCUGCAUGUGUAUGAAAUGUUUACCAGUACCAGUCCCAAUUACAAAAUAACAAUUACUUAAUAAUGCAAUAUGCAUCUUAGGCAGACUUUGGCACACUUGCACUAUGUAGGGAACUAACAUGCCCUCUUCAAGAAUGAUUUCUUCAUCACAUUUUGUCCAGUGGAAGAGCUUUUUAUCUCCCAUAAUGGCAUCCACCAAGGACCACAAGACCACACGGAUUACUGUUCAACAAUCAAAUAACUGUUAGCCAGAUUACACAGUAGGCUUCUAGGACAGGGAAAAAGUCCCCUUUCUCUUCUGAAUCCUCAGCCUGGUGUUUUCUAAACUGUUGUAGCUGUAUGGCAGGCAAUUAUUUACACGCAAUUAUUUACAUGCAAUUAUUUACACGCAAUUAUUUACAUGCAAACCGACCCACUACUCAACAUCCAAAUCAAUUUAACUUGACAGAAGGGGAGAGUGGUUAAGCUUCUUUAAGAAACAGGAAGUUGUAAAAACAAACAAAAAUGAAAGCAAGCUUUUGAGACGUUUGUGAUCGACGGAGUCUUUGUUUCUGCGUUAUGUGACGGUUCCACUUACGUUCGGAAACUUCUCAUGGUUGUAAUUCAUUUUUAUUACAGGGAGUGAACUUACAGCGUCUGUUAUUUUAUCAUGCUAUAAAAUGUAUUAUAUGUUUUCUAUUAAAUAUUUUGGAGUUAACCCCAGAUCCUUUCAAGGAUGUUUCUGUUGAAUAAACUUUUGAUGAAGUGAAUCCUCACCCAGUUAAAACUGGUCUCAUAUUUCCUUUAAUUCAAGAGCUGCAUCCAGCUGAGUCAUUAACGGAAUCUAGCUCGUGUUCUGCCUUUAACAUUCACUGUGGGAGCUGGUCUAGAAUCUCUGAACUACUCCCACAUCUGACUAUAAAGCAAGGAAUCUCUUCACUUUUUUACUCUUCACCUACCUGGAGUAAACAAGCAAUACGGGGUCUCCAAUACUGCAAGGGUUCGUCGACCCGCCUGCACCACGCGGACUUCUGCCUUUACACUUUGUCAGUCGCUCUCCUUGAAUUGAUGAUGCAGAUUGGUUUGGCUUUGGCUGAAGCCUGAUGCUUCUCUAGCGGGCUGCUUUCGUGCGGAGCGAUGUUGAGCAGACAUUAGUAUCAAAAGAGGGGGAAGUGACAAGUGAUGGAACGGCCACAUUCUUUUGGAGGAGUUGAACUUCAGUUAUUUUUAUUGUUUCGCAUGUUGGGUUCCUCUUCUGUUAAUAGGAGAAUAACUGAAACAUAAGUUGUAUCCCUUCCAAUCUGGCUGAGGGUUUCUCCAAAAAAGACAUUUUUGAUUGAUUAUAUUUCACUGUAUAUUUAAUGUUAUAUUUCCUGCACUGUGUUUAUUUGUUUUUUUGUCUUGUUGUGCAAUGUACUAAAAUAGAAUAAAUGUUCCUGAUUCCUGAUACUUCAUUCCGAUUAACUUAAAAUCUAAGGUUGCCAAUCAUAUUCAAAAUAUCACACACAGUCUGGUUGUAAAACGUUCUGCAAUCAUCUCAACUUUUAUUCAAGUGCAUCGUCAUUACAAAACAGGGUUGUUGUUGCUCAGGUAGUAGUUGCUGUAAUUUUGUCAUUUUUGACAGCAGGUGUCUUGAACACCACCCCGACACAUGCCAAAAUGAGCAGACUUUAACAAAGCUUUUUCUUUCUUGGCAGGAAUUGGCAAAUUUACAAAUUUACAAAAAUUCAUUUUUAUUAAGGUUUUUUUUCCUCGACGGACCAGCUUCUUUCAAGAACCACGGAGGGGGCCUGCGAGUAUGCUCAUCCACUCUACAUGUGUUUUGUGGACCUGCAGAGGGUGUAUGACCGGGUCCCCCGAGAGAUAAUGUGGGAGGUGAAGCGGGUGUACCGGGUGGGGAGCCCAUCCAAUGGCUGCACGCCCAAAGUGAGAGCUGUGUUGGCAUAGGGGGGGAGGGAGGUCUACAGUUUGGUGCGUUGUGGAUCUCAUUGCUGCUUUUUGCAAAUGAUGGUGGGGUCUUGAUGGCAUCUUCUGUCUGUGACCUCCAACUCUCACUGGAGCGGUUCGCAGCCGGGCGUGAAGCGGUUGGGUUGAGGAUCAGCACCUCUAAUUCUAAGGCCAUGGUUCUCAGCAGGAAACCAAUGGAUUGCCGAUUGGGGUCCUUACCCCAAGUGAAGGAGUUCAAGUAAAACGGGUCUUGUUCGCAAGUGAGGGGAAGAUGGAGUGUGAGUUUGGCCAGAGAAUCGGAGCAGCGGGGGCGGUAUUGCACUCGCUUUAUCACACCGUUGAGACAAAAAGAGAGCUGAGCCGGAAUCUACCCGUCAAUCUUCGUUCCUACCCUCACCUUUGGUCAUGAAGGGCCAGGACUGUAGUGGAGGGUAAGCGCACGUAAAUGCCGUUUACGCACCUCUGGAAUUUUGGAAAUAGCGUUUACGCACCUCAAAGUUCCCACCUGCGCCUUGUAUUCUUCCGUUGGAAUAAUGUCAGUUUAAAACACCUAAGACUACAUUUCAUAUUGUUGAACAUAUAAACGGUGUAGUUUGAAUCAUUUUCAUCUGCGCUGUCUGGUCUGUGACCCUCCAAUCAGUGCCUUGCGGGUGCGGCGGCUCCACCAAUCAGGAUGUAAACACACACACAUAUUAUGGAUCAGCCCGCCUGUUCGGAAUGGAUUCAUUAGUUGCGUCGACUUUUUGAGCUUUCUCUUAAUGGUUACAGAGCAGGGGAAGUGUUAACUUGUAGGAUGGCUUUUUUCAUAUUACACGGUUCAGCUGUAACACCCUGGGCCUUCAUUUUUGGAGGUCCUAAUAGAGGUCCUUUCUUUUGUCUCCCCCUCCAGGCCCUCCAUUUUUUUUGAGGACACAUACACAUACUUUCCUUUACUGUUUUCUUGAAAUGUACAUACAGUGUUUUACAAACACAUUUAUUCACUGUCAUUGAUUGUAUAUGACUUCAACUGAUAACAUAAUAUAAUAUAGCCAGGACAGCCUUACAGAGUCGCAACGCGUUGUGUUGUUUGCGUUGAAAGGUGCCAGUUGAGGUCGUUUAACAAUGACAUGAGAGAGAGACUUAUUAUUUUACAGUGCGCUAGCGUAAUUCGGAUAGCAGUAUGUUAACCUACACGCUAACCAGCUCUGCUGUAACUUACUCACAUCAUGGACGUGAAUAACAUUUUACAGCAUGUUACUGUAUAUUGGAUUACAGUAUUUUACUAUAGGAUUUUGUGUCGUAAUUUUACGGUAUAUAUGUAUGGAAGUAAAUCUGUCAAAUAUGUCAUCGGAUUUUGAAAGAAAAAGAUGACUGAAUAUGUAUGCAUUGAUAUCAUGCAUCUGAAUGUUUUUCAACGUUAAAAUAUUCAACCGCAAAUAAUUCAACAUUAAAAUAUUCAACUGCAAAAAAUUCAACCUCAAAAAAUUCAACCGCAAAAAUUCAACCGCAAAAUUUCAACCUCAAAAAAUUCAACCGCAACAUCCGCGAACCCAAGGAAGAUCAAUCGAUUCUAGAUUCAAGAUCGGGAGCGUGCGUCAAGUAAAAGGAGCGAGCGCCCCAAUACAACUUGGGCUUGUCGACUAUGAUGACCCGAUUUCAGCCAUGUCCAUUAUAAUGGGGCUUCGUUGAGUGUUUUAACUUUAACUUUAUGCCAUCAGUGUUGUGUCGUACAGACACAAACCAGUCUGUACGAUUCAGUAAUAGACAGCUGAUGCUGGGAUGUUUCGACAAGCUAUUGGGAGGAAUUGGCGGAGUUUUGAAACAGGGAACUCGCUUGUAGAGCGCAUAUGACCCCCUCCAGCGUACUGGGGGGGGGGGGGGGGGGCAGCGGCUUUAGCGGCUUAAACAUACUUCACACAUAAAUACACACCUAAAGCACAUAACUAUGUGUCACUGGACGCACACAUGUAAGAAAUUAACAGUGAAACUGGUGACUGUGUCCUCGCCUGCCUUCUGCAGCAGCAACAACAGGUAUGCGUGCCACAACAAGGGCUCUGAUUGGCUCAUUCUUUCAGUCCCAAUUACGACUAUUUGAAUACAGCGCUGUUAAAUUAUGGUAGUCCGCUGUUAUUGAUAAUUGACAACAUUAACUGUUCAUUUACAUGCGAAGGAUGAUCAUGUUACAGUUAUUAUGAAAUACUGUAAGAUACUGUUCCAUCCACCAAUCCUCCGUAAAUUCACAGCAAUGUGUUACAGUGUGAAUAAAAAAUGGUUAUCCUUCUGAUUCAUCAACAGGCCCUGACAUGUGCAUGACAUUGUAAGGCAAUGUGAUGGACAUUCCAUUUGGAGUGUUAGAGUUAUUCUGUGGGGACUUAAGAUUCUUGUGACCUGAAAGAAUUUGUUCCAUCAUUCUUUAUUGGCAUUACCUGUAAAACUACUGCGCUGAGACAAAACAUGGGACAUGGGAGACUAGUGGCGAGACUAAGUACAGGUCAGACUCAAAAGAUAAGUUUGAUAAUCGAUGUGGGUUCACUGAUCUGAAUGUGAGACGCUCAGAAUUGAUUUAUGUUUUUCUUUCCAACUUGUAAGCAAGUUGUUAUAGAAUGUUCUAAAAUGAUUUAUAGCCCGAAGAGAACAUUACAUGUUACUGAUCGCAUUGCCUCUCCUGUCUUAAUCACAUUGGCUGUGACAAAAGGUUCCCUUUGAAUUAAGAUUGAUGUGGUUAUAAAUACCACUGACACAAAAUGCUGUGGAAGUUGUCUGGGUGAACUGAAUUGCAUGAGCAUAAAUCAUCAGUGGCACUCUCUUAAUAAAUGACGGUUUAAAAAACCCCAGCUUAUAUACCUUGUUAUUACAGUGAAGGAAUGCUGGUAUAUUAAAGAGGCAUGUAAAAAAGCAGUUAUCAAUACACUGAAUAAAGAGUCCUUCCUUUAACUUCCUGACCACCAUCUUCUUUUUUUCAGUUGGAAAAACCUGGUGGAAGCUGGAGGCGUCGGCUCCCCAGCAUCACCGGAAGAACUGGAAGGUGAGCACCGCUCCCGACAUGUCACGGUGUGUUGUACUGUCAACUGGCCAGAAACGUAGAGGUCAUUGAAGAGACUGAUGGCGGCAAGCCUCCUGAAUUUGAGAUUGUAUGAAGAUCAGAAAGGAAAGGAGGCAGGCAGCAUCGGGGCGGCACACUGUCGGCAUAUACGUUUCACCGCCAGAGCACUUUCCACUACGCUGCCCAUCUGAUCUGGGCAUGGAGCUCCUGCCAGACUCUGCGGAGGGACUCAUUUCAAAAGUGAUGUUAAAAUAUUAACCAUACCCGCACAAUGGGGUGGUGUCACGUGUCAAUUAAGCCAAUAAAGAGGUGCAGGUGUUAGGCUGCAGGUAUUCCACAAGGCCGUGGAGACAGGGCCCCUAUAGACCAAACGAUACAGACACAAUUUCCACUUCAAAGAGCUGAUGCAACAGGACGGAUCCCCUUUCAGUCGCCACAAUGCAGGGAACACUGUAUACCUCUUGAUUAAAUGCAAAUAUCAAAGCGAAAUCCUAGAAGUGAAUGAAUUGCCAUAGAAUUUGGUUAGACAGGAGAUGAAUACAGUUCGGUAUGGUUAAAACGUCUUGCUGUCCACUGAAAUAUCACCUGAUCUGCCAAAUGCAAACUAUCAUGGCAUCCAGCAGAGUUUUGGAGGGGUAGCAGCAUUGUGCAGCAACGUUUUUUAUAUAACACAUUCUAGACUAAUUUCACUUUGAAGGCAAUUUUUUCACUUGUGUUUGAGUCUGUAUUUCUUAACGGUGGACUGGCAAGCUGAGCAUGUUUUCCCUUGUACCCAAAUCUGCUCGCUUUCUAAAUUCAGAGCAUAUCUAUUGCCUCUAUGUGGCUCCCUCACCAGUUGUUUAAUUCAGUAAAUCCGUUUUAUGUUUCUACACACACAGACACACACACACACAGACAAUGGAGAUGGAAAUAUAGCACUUUUUUAGUCAACCACAUUUGUAAAAGGGUUAACUUCAUAUGCAGAUUCAGAUUAUUCAUUAAAAAUAUAUACUAUACGUAGAAAUAAUAAUUAUUACGAUUUCUACACUCUGAUAUUGCUACCAUUUCUUCCACCGCAAAGAAAAGGGGAAGAAGGAAUCGUUUAACACGUGGCGUUCCCACUUUUGGUGAUUGUGACGAUGCCUGCUGGACAAAGGUAACGCUGCGCUCCUUGAUAUCAUCACCAGGUGAUGCUGUGGGUGGUGGCGUCAUUGCUGAUACUAGUGGAAGACGUGUUUUCUGAAGAGGACAAUAAAAAGGGUCAAUCAGACCUCCGUCGUGUCCUCGGGCAGCCCUCCUCGUCCUCUGCUGAGGAUCUUGAACGGGACAGCAGAGUCCACACACACUGGCUUAAAGCUCUCGGCAAGUAUUUCAUUUUCAUUUUAUAAUUCAUCAGCAAGUUCUCACUCAGGCUUGUGGUUUUUCUUCAAUUAAUUAUCAAACGUGAAUCUACUGCGAUCAACAACACGUUCUUGUAAUUCAGUGAGGACGGGUCAGUUCUGUGGAUGCAAAAGCAUCAGUACUGAAGAACUGGAGACUUGUUAUUUGUUGAAAGAAGAGCAAAGAACAUACCUGAAGUUUCUCCAUGGUGAAGAUGUUUUCUCUCUUCCCUUUGACUGGCUUCCUGAAGACUUUGAUUGACAGGCGUUUCAUUGAUUCACAGGCCAACCUUUUUGUUUUGAAGUGCCUGUCCUUUCCAAUGACAGAUCUUCAGAUGGUUUCGUGUAAACCAAUCUGUGGUCAUGGUUAAAAGAAACCAAGGCUGACUCCUGGUAGUGGGCACAGGAAUCCAAAGGCUCUAUUACAUGUCAAAAGUUCCACACUUGGUUGACCUCUUCACCCCAAUUUCCAUUCCAGCCGGCGUGGCUGUGCGUCUCUUUAACACGUUGGUUCUGCCUUUGCUUCUGAUGGAGAUCAUCGUUACAGCAGCGAGACCUAACACGUGUUGUUCAUGUCUUUAGUUCUACAAUAAGUAUAAAACUAGACAUAAACCACCCCUUACAACAACAACAUGACAAAUAUCUAUUUUUAACCUUUGGAGGCGCACGUUCAUUUCCAUCGUUUUUUUUUUCUAUUGUGCGGCUUAGUAGCUGCAAACAAACAUCUGAGAUGGAGGCCAUAAAAUAGCAGCAUGUUACUCCUGAAUGGAUGACCUCUGGAAAUGAUCAAUCCAGUGUGAAGGUCUCUGUCGUGCAACAAGGCCCUUGUUCUUCACAGCAAGUAGAGGAACAGGAUGAAUGACUGAACGUCUGUUUAUUUUAGUAAGUAACUCAGUCUAUUUAACAUAUCUAAGAUGUGUAAUCCCUUUAGAAAACAGUAAGUUAAAACAAGUUUUAUUGUAAGCGCCACCUGACACUCCUCUGGUGACUGAAUUAUUAUUGAAUCAGUUUAAAAUGGACAGUUUGUCCCAAAAUCAGAAAGAUACAGGUUUCCUCGUUUUGAUGCGAGUUGCCAAGAAUUUUAGGUAUUUCCUAAAAUAGUUUUAUAUUUUUUAUUAGGUAUAUAAGAUGUCAGUAUAAUGGGAAUCCAACAAAUACAAAUACAAAUACCAGCAAUGUCUCUUUCCAGAAUUGAUGACACAAUUAUUCACAGAUCGCGUUGGGUGCGCAACAGCGUCUCAUUGGCUAAUGCUCACAACAGCGGUUCUAAAUUAUGGUGGAGGAUAGCUUUUUUUAUUCCAGUAUCUAAUGGCACAUGCCUUUAUGAACAGUAAGCAUAGAGGCACAAAAAAGAGUUAUUCUAGUGAUCGAAGCAGUUACUGCAUGAGACAUGCUGAUACUUCAUUAUUGGGGUGCUGUAAGCUGCGUUUCUCCAUCCCAACCUUUAUGGAAGUGGUGGAAAAUGAUCACGGCAAGCACAGUUGGACGUGAUUGCCCCGAACUCAUGCCCCAUUCUAAUGUAACAUUGGAAUAGCGAUACAAUUUCUUGAGAUUAUGCAUGUGGCGUGUUUGGACAUGGCUGAAUACGUACAGGUGAGCGGGGGGGACAUUUGCCUGGGGGAAAUUCGUAUGCAUAUUUCCGUUUUGGGGGGGGUAAACUUUGAGGCAUGAGCUGACAAGCAUUCAUCCCGCUACGCGGUACUGAAAAUCCCCUCAGGAAAUUGCUGCACGGAGGCAUCGAAGGGAGAAGUGCGAGGAUAAAGCCUUCCCCGGUUCAGGAAGUCAGUCAAACACCUGGACCAGGUCGGCCCAGGUCGGCCCAGGUCGGCCCAGCGGAGCGGCUGACGUUAUUUGAAACGUUCCUGACAACAGAGAACUUUGGCUACAGUUGGUUGUCAGCUAGCCGCUCCACUAGCCUACUGGUAAUGACCCUGCCCAGUGACAGUGAAUUUCACAACAGAGGCAUUUUCCCCCUCCAGUUUCCUGUGUCUGCUUUUGAUUUGUUUGGAUCAAGAUUUAAG